RNAcentral lists this ribosomal RNA (296 nucleotides) under uncultured bacterium. Its description in RNAcentral is "partial 16S ribosomal RNA". It matches the Rfam family "Bacterial small subunit ribosomal RNA", at positions 334 to 647 of the family's 1533-position model. The record is from RNAcentral.
GAGUCCUACGGGGGGCAGCAGUGGGGAAUAUUGCACAAUGGGGGAAACCCUGAUGCAGCGACGCCGCGUGAGCGAUGAAGUAUUUCGGUAUGUAAAGCUCUAUCAGCAGGGAAGAAAAUGACGGUACCUGAAGAAGAAGCCCCGGCUAACUACGUGCCAGCAGCCGCGGCAAUACGAAGGGGGCAAGCGUUAUCCGGAUUUACUGGGUGUAAAGGGGGCGCAGACGGCGAUGCAAGCCAGGAGUGAAAGCCCGGGGCCCAACCCCGGGACUGCCCUUGGAACUGCGUGGCUGGAGU